CCGAGCACAUGGGCCGGCGGCUGGGCGGGCGCGGGGCGGCCUGGACCGGGAGGCACGGCCGGGAGCCGCGGAGCCAGGAUGGGCCCGGCGCCCCCGGCCUGUCCCGCGUGGAUUUCCACGUGGAAGGAUGUGGGCGUCCCUGUGACCUUUGGCGGCACGGCUGGAUGUACCCUCCA
Non-coding RNA from Procavia capensis (Cape rock hyrax), 176 nucleotides. The record is from Rfam. Lineage: Eukaryota; Metazoa; Chordata; Mammalia; Hyracoidea; Procaviidae.